CUCACUGACAAGUAUACACUGAUUUUGACAUGUAGUAAUUUUUCCCUAAAUGAAACUGUAUUUAUAUACUCAAUUUGUUUGUGUUUUGCAAAAACUCAUUUCAGAUAAGUAAUAUUUGCAAGAAAAAAAGGGUUUCGCUUCAGAUUUGUUUGUGUUUUAGAAAAAACUAAUUUCAGUUAAGUAAUAUCUGCAAGAAAAAAAGGGGUUUUGCUUCAGAGGCGGUGCUGCGCAUGCGUUUAUUUGGCUGCCAAAAGACGAUUGUCCUCCAUUUUGCAAACGGUUCCGUUGGCUUGAAGAGAUCUGCACUUGAAACCUUCGGUUUUGACUUUUAACGUUACAGGUAUUGAGAAAUGUCCUUGCUUGAUGACUGGAUCAGGAAAUGCCUGUGAUGCUUUGGUAUUCAGGCAAGCUACAGGUCAAAGAUGCGUAACCUUGGAUGUCCAGUGACCGCCGUUUUCCAGAAGAAGAAGGUCAUAAGUUCCAGAAGAAGGUUUAAAGGACAUAAAAUGGCCAAACAUUUGAGGAUUUUGCAAGGUACAGAGACUGUACAUCUGAGGAGGGAGGCAGCCAUCAAGACCCUGUGCCUUUAUUUUGGUGAAGAUGAUGAUUCUCUCAUACAUGUACAUGGAUAUCCAUGGCAAGGAGGUGUCAAGAGAAAACCACCCCUUGGAACAUGAGGACAUCGGCAUCGUUGUGGAUGGAGGCAUCAUUUUGGAGGAACCUGGUCUGUUGCACAAGGCUGUGCAGUGAAGCCAGAGACUUUCUAAUGAGGAGACACAGCACUCAAAAAAUCCUCCAUAGAAAUGCAUGGGGUUAGUUUGUAACACCGUUGUAUACACAUAUCCCACCCCUUCCUCGGCAAAACGUUGACAUGUGAAUACAUUGAGCCAAUCAUAUGAUGUGUUGUGCAGACAUCGUGCCAAUCAUGUGUUGUGAACUCGGCGCUGGAGUAAGGUUGGGGUCGUGAAGCCUUGCGCACGUGCAUUUCUGCCAAAUAGGAUGCCCGAUGAGUGGCAAAAAAGCGUUGCAUUAUGGCUGCCGAGUGGAGGGACUUGCCUAAAAGGACUUUGGUGAAGCUAGGGGUCAUAUACACAUUGAAUCAAUGUUGAACU
Molecule: long non-coding RNA, 1112 nt
Organism: Alosa sapidissima (American shad)
Lineage: Eukaryota; Metazoa; Chordata; Actinopteri; Clupeiformes; Clupeidae
Exons: 4
Source: RefSeq, a predicted model, not a curated record